AGCGAACGCUGGCGGCAGGCUUAACACAUGCAAGUCGAACGCAUCACUCCGGUGGUGAGUGGCAGACGGGUGAGUAACACAAGGGAACGUACCCUUCGCUCUGGGAUAACCUCGGGAAACUGGAGCUAAUACCGUAUACACCCUUUUGGGGAAAGGUUUACUGUCGGAGGAUCGUGCCUCGGCUGAGUAGCUUGGUGGUGGAGUAACGGCCUAACAAGACGACGAGUAGUAGCUGGGCUGGGAGGAUGAGCAACCACGCUGGGGCUGCGACACCGAGCAUACUCCGAGGGGAAGCAGUGGGGGGGAAUAUGGAACGAGGGACGCAAGGCUGAUGCAGCCACGCGUGGUGGGUGAUGAUGUCCUUAUUGUUGUACAACUCUUUUGACCGGGACGUUAGUGACGGUACCUGAAGAAUAAGCCCCGGCUAACUUCGUG
Molecule: ribosomal RNA, 435 nt
Filed under: uncultured bacterium
Lineage: Bacteria
Description: partial 16S ribosomal RNA
Rfam family: Bacterial small subunit ribosomal RNA
Source: RNAcentral